RNAcentral lists this ribosomal RNA (253 nucleotides) under uncultured bacterium. Its description in RNAcentral is "partial 16S ribosomal RNA". It matches the Rfam family "Bacterial small subunit ribosomal RNA", at positions 524 to 776 of the family's 1533-position model. The record is from RNAcentral.
UACGUAGGGUGCAAGCGUUAAUCGGAAUUACUGGGCGUAAAGCGUGCGCAGGCGGUUGUGCAAGACAGAUGUGAAAUCCCCGGGCUUAACCUGGGAAUGGCAUUUGUGACUGCACGGCUAGAGUGUGUCAGAGGGGGGUAGAAUUCCACGUGUAGCAGUGAAAUGCGUAGAUAUGCGGAGGAACACCGAUGGCGAAGGCAAUCCCCUGGGCCUGCACUGACGCUCAUGCACGAAAGCGUGGGGAGCAAACAGG